GAUGAACGCUAGCGGCAGGCUUAAUACAUGCAAGUUGAGGGGCAGCAUGAUAUACGCGAGUAUAUUGAUGGCGACCGGCGGACGGGUGAGUAAUAGGUAGGAGACCUACCUCAUACAGGGGGAUAGCAUAGAGAAAUCUGUGGUAAUACCCCAUGAGGUUAUAUGAAUAGAGGCAUAUAAUCAAAGCAUAAGCGAUUAUGCGGUAUGAGAGGGGCCUACUGACCAUUAGCUAGUUGGUGAGGUAAGGGCUCACCAAGGCGAAGAUGGUUAGGGGUUUUGAGAGAGAGACCCCCCACAUUGGAACUGAGAGACGGUCCAGACUCCUACGGGAGGCAGCAGUAGGGAAUAUUGGGCAAUGGGCGAAAGCCUGACCCAGCCAUGCCGCGUGAAGGAAGACGGCCCUAUGGGUUGUAAACUUCUUUACUACGCGAAUAGAGGUUAGUACGAGAUACUAAUAGGAAGGUAGUGUAGUAAAAAGCACCGGCUAACUCCGUG
RNAcentral lists this ribosomal RNA (495 nucleotides) under uncultured bacterium. Its description in RNAcentral is "bacterial SSU rRNA". It matches the Rfam family "Bacterial small subunit ribosomal RNA", at positions 28 to 507 of the family's 1533-position model. The record is from RNAcentral.